Molecule: long non-coding RNA, 683 nt
Filed under: Capsicum annuum
Lineage: Eukaryota; Viridiplantae; Streptophyta; Magnoliopsida; Solanales; Solanaceae
Description: long non-coding RNA (CANN_LNC005796)
Source: RNAcentral
AUCUCCUCCACCGCCAUAUGAAUACAAGUCGCCACCACCUCCUUCACCAUCACCUCCACCACCAUACUACUACUCUUCCCCACCACCUCCGAAGAAGUCACCUCCACCACCAUACUACUACUCCUCUCCACCACCACCCGAGAAGUCACCUCCUCCACCAUACUACUACUCCUCUCCUCCACCCCCGGAGAAGUCACCUCCACCACCUUACUACUACUCUUCUCCACCACCCCCCAAGAAGUCACCUCCACCUCCAUACUACUAUAGUUCUCCACCACCACCCGAGAAGUCACCUCCACCACCUUACUACUAUUCUUCUCCUCCACCACCCGAGAAGUCACCUCCACCACCAUACUACUACUACUCUCCUCCACCACCCAAGAAGUCACCUCCACCUCCAUACUACUACAGUUCUCCACCACCACCAGUUAAGUAUCCUCCUCCACCAUACUACUACCCUUCUCCACCACCACCCAAGGAAUCACCUCCUCCACCAUACUACUACUCCUCACCACCACCACCCAAGAAGUCACCCCCACCCCCAUACUACUACUCCUCUCCUCCACCACCAGUUAAAUAUCCUCCUCCACCAUACUACUACUCUUCCCCACCACCACCAGUUAAGUACCCUCCUCCACCAUAUUACUACACUUCUCCUCCACCACCUACUCCUUACUAUCCUC